GAAAAGUUCUCAAAAGAAUCAAUAAAAGGGUGGUGGAGGAGGAGAUGCAUACGAGACUCCGAUGACGGGUGGCAAAGGCCCUUCAUAUACAGGUGCAGGUGGUGGAGAUGACGGUGGUGGCGGUGAAUUGUAAUGAUAAACAGGUGUUGGAGGUGGCGGUGAUGGUGGUGGUGGUGAAUUAUAUUGAAUUGGGGGAGGUGGUGGUGAUGGUGAUGGUGGCGGAUGGUAAGGUGCAGAGUGUGGUGAUGGUGGUGGUGGUGAAUGCUCUUCACAAGGUGGUGGAGGUGGUGGCGGAGGAGGUGACUCUAUACAAGGUGGUGGAGAUGGGGGUGGCGGUGGUGGUGAAUAAACUGGUGGGGGAGGAGAGUGAACUGGAGGAGGUGGUGGCGGUGAUAAAUAGGGAUAAACUGGUGGUGGUGGUGGUGGUGAAUGUGGUGGUGGCGGUGGCGAAUGAGGUGGAGGUGGCGGUGGAGAGGCGGCGAAUACACUGGUGGUGGAG
This 499-nucleotide long non-coding RNA is filed under the name Glycine max (soybean). RNAcentral's name for it is "long non-coding RNA (GMAX_LNC002052)". The record is from RNAcentral. Lineage: Eukaryota; Viridiplantae; Streptophyta; Magnoliopsida; Fabales; Fabaceae.